UAGGGAAUUUUCGUCAAUGGGGGGAACCCUGAACGAGCAAUGCCGCGUGUGUGAAGAAGGUCUUCGGAUCGUAAAGCACUGUUGUAAGUGAAGAAUGCCAUAUAGAGGAAAUGCUAUGUGGGUGACGGUAGCUUACCAGAAAGCCACGGCUAACUACGUGCCAGCAGCCGCGGUAAUACGUAGGUGGCAAGCGUUAUCCGGAAUCAUUGGGCGUAAAGGGUGCGUAGGUGGCACGAUAAGUCUGAAGUAAAAAGGCAACAGCUCAACUGUUGUAUGCUUUGGAAACUGUCGAGCUAGAGUGCAGAAGAGGGCGAUGGAAUUCCAUGUGUAGCGGUAAAAAUGCGUAGAUAUAUGGAGGAACACCAGUGGCGAAGGCGGUCGCCUGGUCUGUAACUGACACUGAUGCACGAAAGCGUGGGGAGCAAAUAGGAUUAGAUACC
RNAcentral lists this ribosomal RNA (440 nucleotides) under uncultured bacterium. RNAcentral's name for it is "bacterial SSU rRNA". It matches the Rfam family "Bacterial small subunit ribosomal RNA", at positions 355 to 786 of the family's 1533-position model. The record is from RNAcentral.